AGUCGCACGAGAAAGGGGGAAGCAACCCCUGAGUAAAGUGGCGCACGGGUGAGUAACACGUGAAUGAUCUACCUCCGAGUGGGGAAUAACUGAGAGAAAUCUUAGCUAAUACCGCAUAACACUUACGAGUCAAAGCAGCAAUGCGCUUAGAGAGGAGUUCGCGGCCGAUUAGUUAGUUGGCGGGGUAAUGGCCCACCAAGACGAUGAUCGGUAUCCGGCCUGAGAGGGCGCACGGACACACUGGAACUGAAACACGGUCCAGACUCCUACGGGAGGCAGCAGUGGGGAAUUUUGCGCAAUGGGGGAAACCCUGACGCAGCAACGCCGCGUGGAGGAUGAAAUAUCUUGGUAUGUAAACUCCUUUCGAUGGGGAAGAUUAUGACGGUACCCAUAGAAGAAGCCCCGGCUAACUUCGUGCCAGCAGCCGCGGUAAUACGAGGGGGGCAAGCGUUGUUCGGAUUUAUUGGGCGUAAAGGGUGCGUAGGCGGUUUGGCAAGUCUUAUGUGAAAUCUUCGGGCUCAACCCGAAGCCUGCAUAAGAAACUGCCGGGCUUGAGUAUGGGAGAGGUGAGUGGAAUUUCCGGUGUAGCGGUGAAAUGCGUAGAUAUCGGAAGGAACACCUGUGGCGAAAGCGGCUCACUGGACCAUAACUGACGCUGAUGCA
RNAcentral lists this ribosomal RNA (663 nucleotides) under uncultured bacterium. Its description in RNAcentral is "bacterial SSU rRNA". It matches the Rfam family "Bacterial small subunit ribosomal RNA", at positions 60 to 753 of the family's 1533-position model. The record is from RNAcentral.